Long non-coding RNA from Phyllostomus discolor (pale spear-nosed bat), 292 nucleotides. RefSeq lists it as uncharacterized. Lineage: Eukaryota; Metazoa; Chordata; Mammalia; Chiroptera; Phyllostomidae. The transcript has 2 exons. The record is from RefSeq and is a predicted model, not a curated record.
AUCUGGUUUGCUUUCACAGGGCACACUGUCCACCCUGAUUGCACAGCCUACCCACCAUUCUGUGGGCUACCAGCUGGCUCUGGGAGCCGUGGGGGCUCAUCCAAGGGGGGUGAUUCUGACUUAAGGGAUGGUGGGCAGAUGUGUCAGUGGUUCAGCCAAAGCCAAAGGUGACUUGGGUUGAGCUCUCUGACUUCCUUCUCAUUUCCCUUUAGGUCUCAUACUAUCUCUGGUUGGCUUGGAACACGAGAAGAGGAAGGAGCUCAAAACUAGGCCCUCUGCCUUGAAAGCCUCC